This 707-nucleotide long non-coding RNA is filed under the name Elaeis guineensis (African oil palm). RNAcentral describes it as "long non-coding RNA (EGUI_LNC065813)". The record is from RNAcentral. Lineage: Eukaryota; Viridiplantae; Streptophyta; Magnoliopsida; Arecales; Arecaceae.
UCUGGUAGUGAGACAUACCGUAAUCUCCAUCAUAGUAUCAUCAAAAUUUUUUUUGAUGGACUAGAAUAAUUCUAACUCACCCCAACAAAGAUCAUUGAUUCAAAAACAAUCCUAGUGAGUUCUCAUGAUCUACUGAUAAUAUUUAGUAGUAUGUAGUGACAACCCAGUAGAACAGAAAAAUAAAUCUUCAGGUAUAGUUACCAUAUAAUACACUUCCUCUAUCAUGAGUCCCAACUAGAUAGAGGUCAUGGAGAACUCGUCAAACCUCAUUAUCAGUCAUAUACUAGAUUAGCUCGAUUCGAGUUCAUUUAUAAAUUUCAUAAAAUUUUUUUCUAGUAUUCAUACUUGCUACGGUCAGAGACUUCCUGAACUCAGUCUCGUGAAUUAUAUAGGACUACUCUUUUUCUACCAAAGUCGAUAGAUUUCAUCUAGAUGUAUCCUACUCCAAACAACGAGCCUAAACUUACAAUAGCCAGUAUAUACAGCAAGGACCCAAAUGACUAGAGACCAAAAAAAUAUACAGUCAAACUAAGUAGUCUUACUGUGAAUAGCCAACACACCGCAGAUCAAAAGAUCAGUCACACCAUUGCAGUAUUGAGAAAACUACUGAUGAACGAGUAGAUACCAAAUAAUUUCUCGUAUUGAUCAUGCUAAGUAUAAGUUAUUCUCUAACAAUCACCUGUACUCUUACCCCAGUGUCUUUCACU